CCUGACCUGCAUUCGAUACGGUCGAGCUAGAGUGUGGUAGGGGAGACUGGAAUUCCUGGUGUAGCGGUGGAAUGCGCAGAUAUCAGGAGGAACACCGAUGGCGAAGGCAGGUCUCUGGGCCAUUACUGACACUGAGGAGCGAAAGCGUGGGGAGCGAACAGGAUUAGAUACCCUGGUAGUCCACGCCGUAAACGGUGGGCGCUAGUUGUGCGAACCUUCCACGGUUUGUGCGACGCAGCUAACGCAUUAAGCGCCCCGCCUGGGGAGUACGAUCGCAAGAUUAAAACUCAAAGGAAUUGACGGGGCCCCGCACAAGCAGCGGAGCAUGCGGCUUAAUUCGACGCAACGCGAAGAACCUUACCAAGGCUUGACAUAUACAGGAAUACGGCAGAGAUGUCGUAGCCGCAAGGCCUGUAUACAGGUGGUGCAUGGUUGUCGUCAGCUCGUGUCGUGAGAUGUUGUGUUAAGUCCCGCAACGAGCGCAACCCUCGUUCUGUGUUGCCAGCAUUUAGUUGGGGACUCACAGGAGACUGCCGGGGUUAACUCGGAGGAAGGUGGGGAUGACGUCAAAUCAUCAUGCCCCUUAUGUCUUGGGCUGCACGCAUGCUACAAUGGCUGGUACAAACGGCUGCAAUACCGCAAGGUGGAGCGAAUCCGAGAAAGCCAGUCUCAGUUCGGAUUGGGGUCUGCAACUCGACCCCAUGAAGUCGGAGUUGCUAGUAAUCGUAGAUCAGCAACGCUACGGUGAAUACGUUCCCGGGGCUUGUACACACCGCCCGUCACGUCACGAAAGUCGGUAACACCCAAAGUCAGUGGCCCAACCGUAAGG
RNAcentral lists this ribosomal RNA (829 nucleotides) under uncultured Actinomycetes bacterium. RNAcentral's name for it is "bacterial SSU rRNA". It matches the Rfam family "Bacterial small subunit ribosomal RNA", at positions 615 to 1446 of the family's 1533-position model. Lineage: Bacteria; Bacillati; Actinomycetota; Actinomycetes. The record is from RNAcentral.